CGCUACGGACUUAAAAUCCGUCGACUUUUAAAAUCGUGAGGGUUCAAGUCCCU
RNAcentral lists this transfer RNA (53 nucleotides) under Cayaponia citrullifolia. RNAcentral's name for it is "partial tRNA-Leu". The record is from RNAcentral. Lineage: Eukaryota; Viridiplantae; Streptophyta; Magnoliopsida; Cucurbitales; Cucurbitaceae. RNAcentral also lists the same sequence under 1 other name.